This 1218-nucleotide long non-coding RNA is filed under the name Anser cygnoides (Swan goose). RNAcentral's name for it is "lncRNA (ENSACDG00005001060.1)". The record is from RNAcentral. Lineage: Eukaryota; Metazoa; Chordata; Aves; Anseriformes; Anatidae.
CAAUUGAACUAAAUGUGGCUGAAGUGCAAUGGAGGAGUAUGGCAAGACAAAAAUUUCCACACAAUGUUUACCACCAGCCACACAGUGUGGCAGCAGAAAUGCCCAUGUUGCAGACAUGUCCGUCAGGUGGAAGGUCCCUGGGUAAGAAGUCUUUGUGGCUGAUGGUGUACGGCUUUGAGGUUCAGGAGGCCUGCCUCUGGUCUGAUCUUUGUGUGUGAUUUUCUUGGAUGGCAGAAAGGGUAAGAGCCAUACGCCCAUUAAAUGCUGUAACGUGACUCCCAUCUUCUGUCUGUGCUCACUCUCAUCUGCGUACGUGAGCACAUACAUAACCGUACAAAUAUACCUACCCAGAUGAAAGUCUGCAUCGGCUUUGGUCCUAUUGAAUUUUCUGAAAUGAUUUUUUCAGCUUGAUGGGUUUUAGCAUUAAAGUGAAUGAGUAAAGCAGCAUACUUCAGCAGCAUCGGUAGGAGGGAAGGGAGCAGGAGGGGUGUUUGAGAAAGGUAAAAGUGCACAUAAAACUGGAUAAAGUCACCUGCUGCUCCCCAUCAUGCAACCUAAGAAAUGUACAGGAAUUUACAAUGUACAAAUGUUCUGCUUUAUAACUACUGAAUUUCAUGGUUGCAUAUUUGCCACUUGUGAAUUUGUAACUGGAUAUUAGCAAUUUCCAAAUGGCUUGGGAUGUUUGUGCACACGUAGUACUUGAAAAGUGUGGUAAACAUAUGUAGCAACCUGUUUAUUCACUGCAGAGGGCACACAAGGAAAGAGAAAUGUUAAGAACUGUCAUGCAGUAAGCUUUCAAAGUGGCACGACCACAUUAAAUAUGCAAGCAUUAGCUGUUACGGUCCUCCAAACAUUUCCAUAUGGAUCUGAUAGAUGCAGUUAUAUUGUCCAAGUAAGAGGUGAAAGCCAAAGGGUUAUGGACAAGAAGAUGAUUUAAAUGUGAAUAAGCCAUUAGAAACUACUGGAAGUACAAGACCGGAAUUUUAUUUGAUCCCUUUGUGUUACCACUUGCUAAAUGGAAUAAGAUCCAGCCUGUGAGUGGUCCUGGGAUUAGACACCAGCAUGUGAGAGGUAAAACUGCAGAAUUAAAAUAACCCCUGGUUUUAUUCAUCUCUUCUGAAACAUGUCAAGUGUCACUUUUGUUGAUUACCAUAAAAACAGGAGUCACUUUCUUCUAAAAAUAUAAAAAAGUUAUCCUGGUACUAAGUAUUAGGUAAC